GAAAGGUGAGAGGUAGGGCUCGGUCUCAAGGUUUAAAGUCACUAGUCAGUCCAACUGCACGAGUGAAAGGCGAAAGUAAAGAUUACGUGCAACCAGGUGUAACGUGUCAAAGGUCACCGAGUCGUCGUAAAGGGGAAUAGGUUGUUUUGCGCAUCCAACAACUGAAAGAGUUUGCGGAGAAGGGUUGAGUUGCGUAAUAGCAGAUUCGUAGGUCAAUAAAUCGUUGGAUUCGAAAUCGAACUCUCUACCUUGGGCGGAUAGGAAUUGAGACUUUCAAUGGUCCGCUCUUCUCUCCUCGUGAUCGAAGCUGACCCCAGAAGUUUUUUAUUCCUUCUUAAGAGGACACCUCCCGAUCUUACUGUUCCAGGUCUUUCUGGUCUUUCGGUUGACGAUUGCUUUAUUCUAUGCGUAGAUUGGUUGGACUCUGCUUUGACCCAGUCGUGAGACGAGCCGCAGGAAAGAACUAGGUGUCAACGGAAAGUCCGUCCUUGAAAGUUGGCAGAUCGGCAUGGGCGGUAUGGUUAAACUAUUAGCUCCUCUGCUCUCUCUUUCCCUGGCUUCUACUUUCACAUACCUUCUUACCGCCCCGUGGGUCGUUUACUUUGCCCCUUCCGCUCCUCCAUCUAACAAGAAAUUUAGUGGGCUCCUAAACGAAGCUAUUGGGACAGUGGCUUUGAUAGCGCUUUGUCAAUAAGAGAUAUCAUAUCGUGGUAGAACCCCUAUCCGUGCUUUUCCAACUCCCUCUAUGGUGUCAUCUACUGGCUGACUGCACACUGACUUCUGCCUGACUAUGGCUUUUAGAAAGCAAGAUCCCUCCGUUUAUCACUAUAUAGAAAGAACAUCCCAUACACAUACAGAGUAUUUAAACUAAGCUAUUCGAGCCUUCACCUAAGCUCUCAUCGAUAGAGCCAAUUUUGCUUUGAUUCUUGUAUACAAGUCUGGUAGUCAAUUGUUCUAGCAAGGAUGGACUAGUUGCCUACUCUCGCCUCACCCGCCCGGUUGACUUAUGGCAUCAUCGACUUGCUUUUCAAUCUAAGCGAUUUCAUAACCAGAAAGAAAGACCUCUCUUUCGGGAUCAGCCCCGUCCCUAGAUGUAGUAGGCNNN
Molecule: long non-coding RNA, 1105 nt
Filed under: Panax ginseng (ginseng)
Lineage: Eukaryota; Viridiplantae; Streptophyta; Magnoliopsida; Apiales; Araliaceae
Description: long non-coding RNA (PGIN_LNC006682)
Source: RNAcentral